Molecule: long non-coding RNA, 1465 nt
Organism: Siniperca chuatsi (mandarin fish)
Lineage: Eukaryota; Metazoa; Chordata; Actinopteri; Centrarchiformes; Sinipercidae
Exons: 3
Source: RefSeq, a predicted model, not a curated record
UUUCUUUGUGUCCACACACCUUUUUUGUCCUAACAAUAACCUGGCUGAGUUAAAGCGAGAGCAGCAGGUGAACAAAGUGCAGAGUGUAUCAUGGGGUCUGGCUGCAGGGUAACAGCAGGUCCUGCUAAUGAUGCAAGACGUGUUUGUGAUGUGGAGGCUCUCUGGGGAGGCAGGGUUCAGGUGAACAUGCAGCCAGGAAGCAGCCCACUGGGACCAGUUACCAAGUCUGUUUCCCAUCAGGUUGGAGGGUACAGACAAUAGAUGUGGGAACACCUUCAGCUUUAACCCCAUCUGACCUACCUCUUGAUGAAUGUGACCUCUGCCCUGGAAAAUCACCCAAUCUAUCCAACUCUUAAAGACAACGCAGGCAGAGAGGGAAUCUUCAAACAUGUCACCUUAACUCAUAUCUCCUCCGUAAUGGCUCAGAAUGGGAAAUACUCUUCAGCUCAUCCAGGGCUGUGAGACAGACUGUAUUUGAACAUGAACUGGGAAAAACCAAGGCAAAGAUGUUGGCAGCUGUGAUGUGUGUUGAGAGGAAUGCACCGUUGUUAUCACUCACUGAGUUAUGCAAGAAUGGUUCGGUGGAAACCUUUGCCUGGUACAGUGUUGGGCCUCAGCCUCCUUAUGCACAGGCUAAGCACACACUCAACGACAUGUUGAUACACACACACACAGAGCCAAGAAGAUCCUGCCCUGAGAAUUUUCUAAUUACCCUCAGUGAAUGGGAGGCAGUCAGACACACACAGAGAGCCAACCGCCUGGGUUAUCACACACACCACCAACACACCCCGUUCUUCUUCCGAAUAUACUAUUUUUAGCUUUCAUCUAAGGCUUUUUUUUCACAGUGGGCACAAGGGAGGCAUAGUGAGGAGAAGACCUGUUUAAGUGUAACUUUGUAGCCCAAGCCAAAAUAAAAAGUUUUCUUUAGAGCAUAUACUGCCAGUUGAUUCUCCUUCAUAGAGGAACACAUCAGGAGAAGUCUAAGAAGAACUAUUGCUUUAACUAAAUAAACAGACGUCUUGACAUUUAGGAGUAAAAACUGUCAAAUCAAAGGAAAAGUUCUUUUUUUAAAACAUUUGGCCAAUAAAGUCAGCAACAGAAAGAAAAUGUUUAAAAUGUUUUUUGCAAAGAUUAUGAUAUUCCCGAAAACCAUUUUAUGCUUCAGCACGUCUCUUUCUUGGUUGGAUGCUGACUAUAAAACGACAAGUUUUAUAUUGUGUAUUGUAUUCCUAAAAUUCUUGCCUAGUACAGUCCACUACAGUUUUCUGGGGGAAACCUGCUGGAACCCAUGAUUUUUAACAUGUGUGCUUGAAGACUUUUAUGAUUAAGGCAAGAAUUUGACAUAAAACAGUACACUCCAAAAUGGCGGCAUGUGACAGGUUUUCAUUUGCUCACAUACUCACUCACUGACAUUAAAACUGAAAAGAAGAUAUUGUAAAAAAAAAAAUAAAAAUCAAACAAUUAU